GUGAAAUCUGUCCCAGGCGAUCUCUGCUGCAGGGGUUCCAAGGUCAAGCCCCUUGCUUCCAGGCCUCGGGUUCCCUGUCGUGAUGAACUAGUGGAAGAAUCUAGGCGAAUGUUAGUGACUCUUCCUGGAUGAGAGAGUCGAGUCCUGCUUGGAGCCAGAAGGUCUGUGUGAAUGAGUCUUAAACUUCUCAAGCUCCGACUCCUGUUUUCUAUUAUCCAGCGAGUGUAACAGAAGUGCCAGUGGGAAGGAAGGAAGGAUUCAAGUCCCAAGGGCUUGAAGCCAAAACAGGACGUGUAUACUCGCCUCUCACAUUAUUUUCAUCAUUGUCAUCAUCAUCAUCAUUGCCAUCCCCCAUUGUUAAUAUUGUGAAAUAUUUAUUUUUUUGUAAUUCAGUCAUGUGCAGGGGAAUGAAU
Molecule: long non-coding RNA, 413 nt
Organism: Myotis myotis
Lineage: Eukaryota; Metazoa; Chordata; Mammalia; Chiroptera; Vespertilionidae
Exons: 3
Source: RefSeq, a predicted model, not a curated record